RNAcentral lists this ribosomal RNA (165 nucleotides) under Veronica perfoliata. RNAcentral describes it as "5.8S ribosomal RNA". It matches the Rfam family "5.8S ribosomal RNA". Rfam says of the family: 5.8S ribosomal RNA (5.8S rRNA) is a component of the large subunit of the eukaryotic ribosome. It is transcribed by RNA polymerase I as part of the 45S precursor that also contains 18S and 28S rRNA. The record is from RNAcentral. Lineage: Eukaryota; Viridiplantae; Streptophyta; Magnoliopsida; Lamiales; Plantaginaceae.
UAAACGACUCUCGGCAACGGAUAUCUCGGCUCUCGCAUCGAUGAAGAACGUAGCGAAAUGCGAUACUUGGUGUGAAUUGCAGAAUCCCGUGAACCAUCGAGUCUUUGAACGCAAGUUGCGCCCGAAGCCUUCUGGCCGAGGGNACGCCUGCCUGGGCGUCACGCA